This is a non-coding RNA of Pelobates cultripes (western spadefoot toad), 248 nucleotides long. The record is from the annotation of a GenBank genome assembly. NCBI's taxonomy places the organism in Eukaryota, Metazoa, Chordata, Amphibia, Anura, Pelobatidae.
CCUAUGCUUCCUGGUUGAUGUUUUGGUCACUUUUGAAUGCUGGUGGUGCUUUCACUCUAGUGGUAGGGUAGCAUGUGGCUCAGGUAGUGCAGCUAAUUCAGGAUGGCACAUCAAUGUGAGCUGUGGCAAGAAGGUUUGCUGUGUCUGUCAGCGUAGUGUCCAGAGCAUAGAGGCGCUAUCAGGAGACAGGCCAGUACAUCAGGAGAUGUGGAGAAGGCCGUAGGAGGGCAACAACCCAGCAGCAGAAC